This 277-nucleotide ribosomal RNA is filed under the name uncultured Lachnospiraceae bacterium. RNAcentral's name for it is "partial 16S ribosomal RNA". It matches the Rfam family "Bacterial small subunit ribosomal RNA", at positions 68 to 339 of the family's 1533-position model. The record is from RNAcentral. Lineage: Bacteria; Bacillati; Bacillota; Clostridia; Lachnospirales; Lachnospiraceae.
UUGAUUUCUUCGGAAUGAAGUUUUUGUGACUGAGUGGCGGACGGGUGAGUAACGCGUGGGUAACCUGCCUCAUACAGGGGGAUAACAGUUGGAAACGACUGCUAAUACCGCAUAAGCGCACAGGAUUGCAUGGUACGGUGUGAAAAACUCCGGUGGUAUGAGAUGGACCCGCGUCUGAUUAGCUAGUUGGUGGGGUAACGGCCCACCAAGGCGACGAUCAGUAGCCGACCUGAGAGGUUGAACGGCCACAUUGGGACUGAGACACGGCCCAGACUCC